UACGAAGGGGGCUAGCGUUGCUCGAAAUCACUGGGCGUAAAGCGCACGUAGGCGGAUCUUUAAGUCAGGGGUGAAAUCCUGGAGCUCAACUCCAGAACUGCCUUUGAUACUGGGGAUCUCGAGUCCGGAAGAGGUGAGUGGAACUCCGAGUGUAGAGGUGAAAUUCGUAGAUAUUCGGAAGAACACCAGUGGCGAAGGCGGCUCACUGGUCCGGUACUGACGCUGAGGUGCGAAAGCGUGGGGAGCAAACAGG
RNAcentral lists this ribosomal RNA (253 nucleotides) under uncultured bacterium. RNAcentral's name for it is "partial 16S ribosomal RNA". It matches the Rfam family "Bacterial small subunit ribosomal RNA", at positions 524 to 776 of the family's 1533-position model. The record is from RNAcentral.